RNAcentral lists this unclassified non-coding RNA (432 nucleotides) under soil metagenome. RNAcentral's name for it is "partial contains 5.8S ribosomal RNA, internal transcribed spacer 2, and large subunit ribosomal RNA". The stretch from base 1 to 120 matches the Rfam family "5.8S ribosomal RNA", at positions 35 to 154 of the family's 154-position model. The record is from RNAcentral.
GAUGAAGAACGUAGCGAAAUGCGAUACGUAAUGUGAAUUGCAGAAUUCAGUGAAUCAUCGAAUCUUUGAACGCAUAUUGCGCUCUCUGGUAUUCCGGAGAGCAUGCUUGUUUGAGUAUCAAUAAACACCUCAACUUCCAUAUCUUUUUUGAAAUGGGAGUUGGACUUGAGUGAUCCCAACGCUUUUCCUCACCGAAAAGUGGCGGGUUACUUGAAAUGCAGGUGCAGCUGGACUUUUCUCUGAGCUAUAAGCAUAUCUAUUUAGUCUGCCUAAAAAACAGAUUAUUACCUUUGCUGCAGCUAACAUAAAGGAGAUUAGUUCUUGUGCUGACUGAUGCAGGAUUCACAAAGACGGCUUCGGCCGACUUUGUAAACUCGAUCUCAAAUCAAGUAAGACUACCCGCUGAACUUAAGCAUAUCAAUAAGCGGAGGA